Molecule: non-coding RNA, 3020 nt
Organism: Myodes glareolus (Bank vole)
Lineage: Eukaryota; Metazoa; Chordata; Mammalia; Rodentia; Cricetidae
Source: RefSeq, a predicted model, not a curated record
UAUAAAAAAACAAAGGCAGCAGAAACAAAUGUAACACACUUUCAAAUAAAGUAAUAUUCCACAGUAUAAACAAACUUAACACAUCUUUGCCUAGUUAAAAUAAGAUUCCACAACAUACAAUUAUGAUCAUUAUGAUGCUGUUUUAACAUCAAUUUCAAUAACUUCUCAUGUUUCUUCCAUCUUCACUUUUCUACUUUGCAAAAGUCUCCACACAUAACGUUUAACACUCUGAUUGCUACAUAAAUCUUAUGUAUAAGGUUGUUUUUUCAGUACUGUAAUCUGGUCUGAUCCUUUAAUAAUUUAGAAGAUGAAUACUUGGUGAAAUCAUGUCAUUGUAUUUAAAGUUACUGUUUUCUCUGUACAAUCUUUCCAGAAUGAAGCUUUAAUUUGCAGUGUCUCCAGUAGAAUUUGAGUUAACCAAACUUUCUGCUAAUCCAUUUCGAUUUUAUUUCUUAUUUUAUGAAGCUAUCAAUAAAAUACAUUUAGGGAAUAUGUAAAAUGAAAGGUUUUGUCACUAAUAGUAGAGACAUGAAAAUAAAUUUAUAUUUCCAUUAACAUCAUAAGUUCAUGUCUAAAAAAUGUUUCAUUAAUGGCAUUCAAUCUCUUAAACAAACUCCACUCUGUGCUUUCAGAAAGCCCUUUAAACUAAUUUCACAAUUCUACCGUUGGUCUUCAAAUUCUGAACACAUUUGCCAUUUAAACUGCUUCUUCUCCUUGACCUGGACUAAUUAUUGCUUUGUCCCAAUUCCUAAAUACAAACAUGUGGGGGUCAUCUUAGACUCACUUAAGACAGUCUCGUGUGCCAUUAAUGAGAAUGGUGGUUAUCAUAACCACUGUGGAGAACAGUGUAGGGGGACUUGGAAAACUUAAUAAAGCUACUGUGUGACCCCGCAAUCCCACGGCUUUUGAAAGAAAGAAAACUGUAUGUGACAGGGGCAUCUGCGUGUCGACAUCCAUUUUGCCUUUCUUGGCAAUAGUCAAGACACGGAAUCAACUUCAGUGUCUAUCAGUGCACGAAUGGAUCCAGAAAAUGUGAGACAAAUUGGUGAUAUGAAAGCCCUCCACUCAGGGCUCAGAGAACCCCACAGAAGCAGAAGCAGAGUGUCAGAGCCAGAGAGGAUGGACAACACCAAGAACACAAGGCCCUCUAAAUCAACAUGAUCAAAGCUUGUAUGAACUCACAGAGACUGAAGCAGCAAGCUUGGGGCCUCCACAGAACCUUCAUCCUGCAGUUGAUGGAAGCAGAUGCAGAGAUCCACAGCUAAACACUGAACCGAGCUUCUGGAGACCAGUCUAAUAGAGGGGGGAGCGACAAUGCAUGAAUUACUCAGCACCAGGAACUAGCAAGCUCAGAAGAACAGGAAAUGCCGCGUGUCCACCACCACCACACAGAAACCGCUUACAGCAAGACUGGCUACACUGCCCAUUGUUCACAGGUCAAUGGAGUCUGGACAGAACUGUCGACAAAUCGAUGUAACACAGUCUCCAGGGAAGAAAGGCAGCUGGUCUCUACCACGUCAAGCCAACCAUGUGCCAAGAAAUUAAUACUGUUGAACAGACAAGUUGGGUUUCUUUUUUAUUUCUGUCUUAAUUAUUUUUAAUGGUAUGUCUGCAUAUGUAUACCUGAAUAUGAGUGCCCAUGAAGGCCAAAAGUAUAAGUUCUCCCCGGAGCUGGUGUUACACAGUUUGUAGCCACCAGAUGUGGUUGCUAGGAAUCUCUGAAAGAGAUUCUGAACCUCUGAAAAAGCAGCAUGCAUUCUUAACAACUGAACCACCAAUCCAGCCUCUAGAAUUUUUCUUUCUUUCUUUCCUUUUCUUUUUACAUGUAAAAUGCCAUAGCCAUGAAAUCUACUGUGGUCCAUAAUUAUAGGCAUUUCUAGAUAGCCUAAUCUGGGUAUCAAACGAACUGAGUUUUUCUGUGAAAGGAAAAUAUACCUGUCAAGACCCAAAGCCAGCAUUAUUGGUUAAUACUACAGUGUGCUCAAUAUCAUUCUUUGCUUGAGAAACCGUACUGUUUCAGGACUCAUAAGCUGUGAAACCAGACAUCUGCAUCCUUCUUCAGACUCAGCUACCAAAAGUGUGGUACCCAGAAGAGAAUCGAAAUCAUCCUACCUCAUAGUCAUCACAGUUAGGAACAGAAAAUUCAAUAUAUGUCUUUUCUAGGAAGGAGUCAAUAAAUAGCAGUGAUUAGAACCAAAAGACAGACACCGAGGCCAUUAGACUCAGAAACUGGGUCAUCAGUGACAGGGAGCAACACGAGAUUUUCAUGGCAGGGUAUAAUUUUCUUUUGUUGAAAGUAAUGAUUCAUGAUUUGAUAUCAGCUAUUCCGUGGUUUUCUUACUCCUCAUACAUGAUUUCCUUCCCAUAUCUGAAACACCAGGAGGAUAACUAUGCAUGUCACUCCCUGGACACUUCUGACAUCAACCUGGGGGGCAGUUCCACUUCCCAGUGGGAGGUUCAGUCACAAAGACGAUACUUUUCUAUAGUAGAACAGCAAGGUCAUAAAAAACCACGAAUUUCUCAAUUUUCAGAUUAAUUGAAUGACUUCCAUCUGUGUCUUCAUAGGCUUUUCAUAUUUUUUCCAGUAGAACAUACUAAAAACAUUAAAUGCUGAUGGCAGAUAUUUUCUUAGUUGCCCCAGGCCAAUAACCUGUUCCGUAGAGUCUGAGUUUUUGAGAAUGCAUGCAUUAACUUAAAGGGUCUGUGGUUUGGAAUGAAUCUGAAUGGGACCUCAAGAAAAUGCGGCCAGCAGUCCACCCUCCCCGUGCCUCCUGUAACAGCACAGUAGGCCCUGUGUCCUUGCUAAGGUUACUUAUGCGCUUUGCUGUCACUCACAAACAUUACCAUCAACACAUGACAGUUUUUAUCCUGUACUGGGCAUAUUUCUGUUCUCUCUCUACACAAAUUUGAAAUCUACGAGAAGCGAGACAUUAUUCAUUAUGAAAUCCUUACAUCCUUUAUGUAUAGGAGUAAAACAUGUAGUAAAUAUUUAUUGAUCAAAUAAAUGCAAUUUAUUUUCU